AAGAGAAAAUUUCUGACUCCAUCGAAUUUAAUAAUUUUUUUGGAAUAUAUUUAGUUUUUUAGGAAUGAUGGAUCUGGAUAAAAGGUUGGAGAGAUUAUAUGAGCUGAGAAAAAGAUACAUUAAAGAUGUACAGUUCUUCAGAUGUCACCUCCGAGAAGAAACCACUUUAAGAACACUUCAACUGAGGAAAUCCAUCAGAAAAGAUAUUUGUAGAAAAGAUGUGUGGAAGAUAGAGAGAUUAAUUUUGAAAUCAGUCAUUAGAAAGAAAGAAGAAAGUGUUGAAUGGCAGAAAAAUUUGGUCCUCAACUUAUCAUCGAAAGAAAUACCAGAAGACUAUAUGCGGUUCUUAUCAUACGGAGCUGAAAAAAAAAGUUGAAAUUAGAAUAAAAAUCUGUGAAGUCUGAAAAAAAAUUAUCAUCAAGAAAGGGUGCAUUCAGGAUCAUAGGGCAAGACAUUAUAUAGAAAAUAAGAUACAAGCAAUUAUAUCUGAAGGAAGCUUUGAAAGAUUGGAGAAAGAUCCGUUUAUUGAAAUACAAUGAACAUUAACAAAGAUAUUGAAGAAACUUGUGAAAGAAGGUUAUAUCCAGGCGAAUCUAAGUAAAGAAAUACUUCCAAAGGAAAAUGUAAGAAUUCCUAAAUGAACUGUCAGAAUUAAAACACAAACAAAAUAAAUGUAGACCAAUCAUAGACUAGAUUCACAUUGUUAUAUAACCUGGAAAUGUUUAUUAAGAAGUUAUUACAGGAUAUACAAAACUCGAAAUAUACAGUUAAAAAUGCUGAUGACUUGAUGAUAAUAUCAAGAUUACAAAAAGGCGUAAUCUUACCUAAUUAUAAACUGAUGAGUUUGGAUAUAACAUCUAUGUACCCUUCCAUUACUAAACAUAUGAUUUUGAGCAGUCUAUUGAAAGAAAAUUUUUAUCGACAAACAGAAGGUAUUUGUAUGGGUUCCGUAAUAGGACCAAAACUAGCCGAAAUUUAUAUGCUGAAUGUGGACAUGAUUUUAUCAACGUUAAAUGGAGUUAAGUUUUUUGCAAGGUACGUCAAUGAUAUUUUGAUAGUGUAUGAUAGUGCAGUCACAACAAAUUUGCAAAUUUUGGAACAAGCUAAUAAAAUUAAUUUGAAUAUUAAGUUUACUCAAGAACAUGAAUUAAAUAGUCAAUUAAGUUACUUAGAUGUAAUAAUUAAAAGAUUUGAAGACCAUUUGGAAUAUUGUACAUUUGAAAAACCGUGUAACACGAGAAUAAACAACAAAUAUAGAUGAAAGAGAAACAGAAAUUGGAGAUACACAUAAGAAAUAUAUUUUAAAUGGAUACCCAAAAAAAUUAUUAAAUGAUUGGUUUCAUAAAUUCUUAAGAAACACAUUUAAAGUUAAACGUCGUCAAGAAAUAACAAAGUUAUCAAAUAUGAUGAUUAUAAGAAGUACUAAAAAACAUUUAUUGGAAGAAGAAGGUGUUGUUUAUUGGAUAGAAUGCACGUGUAGCAACCCUAGUUUUUACGUUGGUGAAACAAAA
This 1511-nucleotide unclassified non-coding RNA is filed under the name Centruroides sculpturatus (bark scorpion). RNAcentral describes it as "uncharacterized LOC111628492, transcript variant X3". The record is from RNAcentral. Lineage: Eukaryota; Metazoa; Arthropoda; Arachnida; Scorpiones; Buthidae.